GGAAAACGACCUUAUUUGAGGACUAAUUACCAAACUGAUGUAGCUGCGGUACGUGCCACAACUGAAUAAAUCGGCACGAAUUCUGUCUGUAAAUAUCUCACAGGCACCUAGGUACAACGAAAAUAGCUAGAAUAAUUGGCAUUAAUCAACAGGAGCGAAACCAAGAAGAAAAAGAAACAAGGAAAGGGUUCCUACAGGUUAUGCCAUAUACAAAACUACAUCAUUGCAGUGCUUGCCUCGAAGCUCCUUCAUUGGGAAAUCGACGGCCUAACAGAAGCUCGUUCACCCCGGCAUAAAGCAGCCAUCUAUGAACCUGAUUUCUCCGAUGUCGGUUGACGCACUGUAGAUCAAUAGAAGUUCUAAGUACAUGACACACUGGCUUCACAGAACUGCUUGCAAAGUAUAAUCAAUAGUAGUAACCAUAAUCAAAUUGUGCAAUUGCUCCUUGUCGAAGAACCCAAGAAGGCAACCAACAAGGUCCUAUAGCAAAAUAAAUAAGGAUAGAAAUACCUCAUGCUACAUGUUUCAGGAACUCAUCAUCAG
This 543-nucleotide long non-coding RNA is filed under the name Triticum aestivum (bread wheat). RNAcentral's name for it is "long non-coding RNA (TAES_LNC027949)". The record is from RNAcentral. Lineage: Eukaryota; Viridiplantae; Streptophyta; Magnoliopsida; Poales; Poaceae.